This 85-nucleotide transfer RNA is filed under the name Parcubacteria group bacterium CG1_02_40_25. RNAcentral's name for it is "tRNA-Leu". It matches the Rfam family "tRNA". Rfam says of the family: Transfer RNA (tRNA) molecules are approximately 80 nucleotides in length. Their secondary structure includes four short double-helical elements and three loops (D, anti-codon, and T loops). Further hydrogen bonds mediate the characteristic L-shaped molecular structure. tRNAs have two regions of fundamental functional importance: the anti-codon, which is responsible for specific mRNA codon recognition, and the 3' end, to which the tRNAs corresponding amino acid is attached (by aminoacyl-tRNA synthetases). tRNAs cope with the degeneracy of the genetic code in two manners: having more than one tRNA (with a specific anti-codon) for a particular amino acid; and 'wobble' base-pairing, i.e. permitting non-standard base-pairing at the 3rd anti-codon position. The record is from RNAcentral.
GCCCGGGUGGCGGAAUUGGUUUACGCGCACGACUUAAAAUCGUGUCCCGCAAGGGAUGUGGGUUCGAGUCCCACCUCGGGCACCA